CUAAGGUGGAUAUGUAUUUCUAUAAAAUGCUCCAUGAAUGCUUUCAGAAUUGCCUGAAAACAGAAUACCUUGACAGCUUUACCACGUUCCUAAUUCACACCUGUCUGCUGGUAAAUUGGCAGCGUGAAUACCAGGGAUGGUCCAGCCUGACAGCAUCCCUGGCUACUAGAAAAUCUGAGGAAUUGUUCCAUCAGGGCUCUGGCACUGUGAGUACUACUACAAACAAACAAAUGAACAAACAAAUAGACACCAACCAACCAAACAACAACAACAAAACAGAAAUAAAAAUAUCCAGUGCAAACUGAGGAACUACCUUGAUAUUUGCAGAGCUGGGCCAUUUAUUUUCAGCUUAGAGUGAAAACUUUCUAUUGCACAAUUUCAAGACAAUGCAAUGGUAAGUUAGAUAAAGUUAAGUAACUUCCUCUGUUUUUAUUUUCACCUCUCUUAACAACACUCUAUGAAAUUAAUUCCUGGUAGCACAAUGAUCACCACCCUCUGGCGUAGGCCCCCAGGAUCCACAGGUGAUGGGUAACAACAUGUUGGGCCUGAGCUCUUCCUCUCUCCCACAAUGUUUCUCCCACUUGAGCCACAGGUAUCCACAGUGCAGUGGGAGAAGGAUGGAGAGGCAGCACUGGGACACGUAUCCCAUAGUUGAGGAUAAUCAGGCAUGGCAAAGUUCACCGUUCCCAUCCAUUAAUUAAUUACUCCUAUAUGCUCUUCUUUCCAGAGGGAGCCAGAGACAAUAAUACGACAUUAUUGUUGACAGUAAGGCCUGUGUUGGGAUAUAUGCAUUGUUGACAGAAGCUGAAAUCUCUGAGGUAUUUUCCAUUGGGAGCCCAGCCCUGUCCCUCCUGGUUUGUUUAUUAUUUGCAGCUCCGCUGCUUCAGUCUCUUGGCCAGCUGGCUUGUGUGCAAAGGGGAUUCCUGGAAGAGCACUGGGAGGCUAGCUCAGGCCCUGGGGGGCCUUUACCAUGUCCCCAAACAUGCACUUGACACUGACAUGCUGAGUGAUUUAGGACCAAACACUUGCCAUCUUUGCCUCUGUUUCCCUCUCUGUGAAGUGCUGAUGGUGGUACAUACUUCGCAGACUGUGUGAGGCUGUGCAGCUGCCAAGCUCCCCACAAGGCAGCAGCUGGCAUCGAUUAGCUGUGGUGUAAAGGCCUCUUACUGAGAAAGGAGAAGGUUGCUCUGUCACUGUGGCACAGGGAAUAUUCUGUCCCUACAUCCAUCUUGAAUGGGCAGUCUUGUAGGCGAAGAGUGAGAAUCAGUUGUGCACUUUGCCUUUCUGUGUUCAGAUACAGCAACAACUUGUAAAUAAGGGGGUAAUCAGCACUUAUCAUCUGAGCUAACAAAAGAUUAAAAUAUCACUUGUACCUUUGCUCUGGAUCCAUUAUCUGACAUUUUACUUCUCUCGCUUAAUGGACAUGUAAUAAAAAGCAAACUAAAAACA
Molecule: long non-coding RNA, 1449 nt
Filed under: Anas platyrhynchos platyrhynchos (common mallard)
Lineage: Eukaryota; Metazoa; Chordata; Aves; Anseriformes; Anatidae
Description: lncRNA (ENSAPLG00000026626.1)
Source: RNAcentral